Molecule: long non-coding RNA, 1410 nt
Filed under: Phasianus colchicus (ring-necked pheasant)
Lineage: Eukaryota; Metazoa; Chordata; Aves; Galliformes; Phasianidae
Description: lncRNA (ENSPCLG00000006850.1)
Source: RNAcentral
AUGGAAGCUGGCGGCUCGCUUCGCAGGAACCCCGCGUGCCUCACAGCGUGCGGGAACCUCCGAACGGCUCAGGAGCGCUGCGAGCACCGGGGAGCGCUCAGAGCAGCGCCGGCACCGCCGCGUCCCGGCCGGGAGGGGCAGCGCCGGGCCGGCAGCGGAGGGCAGAGCGGAGGGCGGCGGGGCGGCCUCGGGAGGAACGCGGCGGCCGCUCCGUCUCCGCCGUCGCGAAGCGGCCGUUGGGGGAAGUCGGCGGAUUCCUCGGAGCCGACGGAGCGCGGCCCGAAGGCGCUUCCUAGCCGCUUCAUAGCCGCCCCGCCGGGUCCCGGCACGGCGGAGCGGUUCGGCCCGUCCGCCCGGCCUCGCCCCUCGGGGUUCCCCCGCCGCCACGCCGCGGUUCCCGGCCCCGCGAGGCGCCGUGCUGGCAGCGCGGACAAAGCGGAUGCCUCGAAUUCCUCCCCACCCCGCGGCGCGGGGCUCCGCCGGGCCGGGACCGCGGCACCCGUGCGGCGCCCGUCCGCCCUCCGUGCCCCCCUCCUCCCCGCCGCCGCCGCCUCCUACCUGCGCCGGGCCGGGCUUCCGCUGGCGGCCGCCGGGACGGGCCGGGCCGGAGCAGCCGCGGCGCGGAGUUGGGCGGCCGCAGCCCGCGGGGCCGUGCUGGAGCGGCGGGUCCGGGCGCUGACAAUGAGAGGCGGCCCCGGCGCCGCUACGUCACCGCGAGGGGAGCGGGGCCCGGCGGGGCGGGGGGCGGGAGCGGCGCCGCCGGGCGGGGCGGGGGUCGGGGGCCCGGCGGUGCCGGACGGUCGCGGAGUUUCGCCGCCGCCUCCGCCGGGCGAUCCGCUCCGGGCGGCGCGGCUUCCGCGGGAUCCGCCGUCGUUGGGAGAAGCGAGGAAGGAGUUUCGGCCAUUUUGGGGGAAAGAGGGAGCGGGGCGGCCGGAGGGAACCGCGUGCCGGGAGAGCGAAACGGGACGGAGCGGCGGGCGAUGGGGGCACCGGGAGGGGAACGGGGGAGGCGGGGAGCGGCUCGGGGCCGGAGCUCCGCGGGAGGAGGGAGCGGGGGGAGCGGCGGAGCGGCGGCCCUCGGCCCGUCCGGAGGUGCGGAGCUCCGCUCCCGAGCCGUGCGCAGCUCCCGCUGUCGGCAACGCGCCGAGGAGGGAACGUAGGUCGGAUGGCACCGGGGUGUGGAGGAAAGUUCGUCCUGAAGGGCUGCCCCACAACGUGCCGCUUCUAGUCUGGGACGUGGCGCUGAGCGGAGCGGUCGGUGAUUCAGCCGUGGUUGCCUCUGGUACCAUAGAAUGGCUGAAGAUGGAAGAGACCCUCAAAGGUCCAACUCGCAGCAUUGAGCGCAGGCACCCGCAGCUCCAUCAGCGCUCAGAGCCCCUCCAGCCUCACGCUGGGUGUCCGCCCCUAUGA